Molecule: ribosomal RNA, 249 nt
Filed under: Escherichia albertii
Lineage: Bacteria; Pseudomonadati; Pseudomonadota; Gammaproteobacteria; Enterobacterales; Enterobacteriaceae
Description: partial 16S ribosomal RNA
Rfam family: Bacterial small subunit ribosomal RNA
Source: RNAcentral
AAAUUGAAGAGUUUGAUCAUGGCUCAGAUUGAACGCUGGCGGCAGGCCUAACACAUGCAAGUCGAACGGUAACAGGAAACAGCUUGCUGUUUCGCUGACGAGUGGCGGACGGGUGAGUAAUGUCUGGGAAACUGCCCGAUGGAGGGGGAUAACUACUGGAAACGGUAGCUAAUACCGCAUAACGUCGCAAGACCAAAGAGGGGGACCUUCGGGCCUCUUGCCAUCGGAUGUGCCCAGAUGGGAUUAGCU